AACGCAGGAGACAAACAUGUGUAAUUAGAUAGGUGAGGUAGGAGAUGAAAAUGAGAUCGAAUUUACGACUUCACAGAACAAAAGGAGUUUAGAAUUAGCUGUGAUGUUAUAUUACCCCACACCGUAUUAUAUAUACAGAGAGAGUCCGGCUAUUAUACUAUUGAUAGUACCAAGCACUUGGUGCUAUCGAAUUUUCUACCAUUAGAUCUAUUCCUUGAAUCAUUUUCAUCUGUUAGAUCAUAUUAUUCAACCAACCUCCACUCAACCCUAGGGGAUCAACUAUCGACCUAAUCACACAUCCUUUCAUUGAAGGACUGAAAAUCUAAUAGCAUCAAACACUCGAUACUAUCGAUCAGACAGAUAAAAGGCAUAUAAAAUUGAUAGAUAAGAUAGAAAAUGGAGAUGCGGUUGGAGAUCGAUGAGGAUCGAGCUCACGACUUUCAGAAUAGAAGGAUUUAGAAUUAGUAGCAAAAAAAAA
RNAcentral lists this long non-coding RNA (478 nucleotides) under Ananas comosus (pineapple). RNAcentral's name for it is "long non-coding RNA (ACOM_LNC017171)". Lineage: Eukaryota; Viridiplantae; Streptophyta; Magnoliopsida; Poales; Bromeliaceae. The record is from RNAcentral.